GCGCCUUUAGCUCAGCUGGUAGAGCAGUAGACUCUUAAUCUAUUUGUCCAGGGUUCGAAUCCCUGAAGGCGCAC
RNAcentral lists this transfer RNA (74 nucleotides) under uncultured Blautia sp. RNAcentral describes it as "tRNA-Lys(ctt)". It matches the Rfam family "tRNA". Rfam says of the family: Transfer RNA (tRNA) molecules are approximately 80 nucleotides in length. Lineage: Bacteria; Bacillati; Bacillota; Clostridia; Lachnospirales; Lachnospiraceae. The record is from RNAcentral.